Molecule: ribosomal RNA, 254 nt
Filed under: uncultured bacterium
Lineage: Bacteria
Description: partial small subunit ribosomal RNA
Rfam family: Bacterial small subunit ribosomal RNA
Source: RNAcentral
AGGACGAACGCUGGCGGCGUGCUUAACACAUGCAAGUCGAGCGGAAAGGCCCUUCGGGGUACUCGAGCGGCGAACGGGUGAGUAACACGUGAGCAAUCUGCCCUUAGCUCCGGGAUAGCUCCGGGAAACCGGAAUUAAUUCCGGAUACGACCACAGCCGACAUCUGCUGUGGUGGAAAGGAUUCCGGCUAAGGAUGGGCUCGCGGCCUAUCAGCUAGUUGGUGGAGUAACGGCCCACCAAGGCGACGACGGGUA